UCGAACCACAGUCGAGAGCACUACGAAGAACGAGUGAUACAUAUUGUCUUCAAUCAGUUUAUAUUGUGAAUAUUUAAUUAAUGUGCAAAUGUGCAUCACCAUCAACAGCAAACAUAAAAAAAUAAUAAUACAGUUUUACUUUUCAUCAACGUCAUCAAAUUCUUUCGUCAAUGGCUGUGUUGAUUUUCAGUACUAACUUUCGUCAACGGCUAUAUAUUUUCAGUACUGGCAAUAAUAUUAAUCCUCAGUUACCUCUCUGGGUUACGUUAACCCAUAUCAAAAAUAAUUUUUUCAAAAUUUUAGAGGAUUACUUUUCAUUUUUUCUUAAAUAUCUUAAGUCGUAGAAAUCUGGUAAUAUUUAUACCGAUAUAUCUUUUUUUUUUACUGUCUGGCGUAUCGAUUGUAAAAAAAUACUUUAAAAUAGCUUUAUUAGAUCCAGAAAUAAAGACAAAAGAAAACUCUAAGUGACUCUAACCCAUAAGUGGUGAAAUAGGAUAGCCAAAAAUGAGUGGUAACUGAGGUUUAAAACACAGAAACUGCGCCGGAAAAAAUCGCGUUAUCAACGUGUCGACGUCGGAAAAAUCACUUUGUACCUGAGAAGACGAAGACGUGCAAGAAAGAAAUUCAAUGACAAGCGUAAACAAAAAGGAGAGAUCCUGAAGGAAGAGAAAAGAAAUGUGCCAUGCGAGGCGCCAUACGAUCUCGCGAAGAAACUGUAUUCUCCGGAAUUCAGAAACUUGCCAAUUUUGAGCCUAUUAAAGCACGAAUUUAUCAUGAAAAUUCGUAUGGUUAUGGUAUACGGUGAUUGUGGCAACAAACCACUAAUUGUGAAAAAGGACAAGAUUGUGCACGCUUUAGAUUUUAAUGGAAAGUAUUAUAAAUAUUUCAACUCUGGUGAUACACAUAUUAGUUUCUAUCCAAAAAUAAUAUUAUAUCGAUAUGAAUUCUCUUUUAUAACGAUAUGACAGUAUAAAAUUAAUAUUCAAAAAGCUAUCAUAGAGAGAAUAUUAACAUACAUACAUCUCCAUAUGUAUAUAUAAUUUAAUUUAAUGUGCAUAUAUAAGCUUUUCAGAUAUAUUAAUUCUUUUCCGAUUUCAGUAUAACGGAUUUCUAUAUCUUUUUCGAAAAUGUUGCAACACUGUUGUACAAAUUUUAUUUUGCUAAAAUAGAAUCGACAUUUAUUAUUAAAGAAUACUAAGGAACGAUAUAUAAUAGAGACAAAUAAAAUAAUAAUUUAAUUUGUUAAUAUUAAAACUUAUCGCGUUGAUUGGA
Molecule: non-coding RNA, 1272 nt
Organism: Nylanderia fulva
Lineage: Eukaryota; Metazoa; Arthropoda; Insecta; Hymenoptera; Formicidae
Source: RefSeq, a predicted model, not a curated record